GAUGAACGCUGGCGGCGUGCUUAACACAUGCAAGUCGAACGGUGAAGCAGAGCUUGCUCUGUGGAUCAGUGGCGAACGGGUGAGUAACACGUGAGCAACCUGCCCCUGACUCUGGGAUAAGCGCUGGAAACGGCGUCUGAUACUGGAUAUGAGCUGCGACCGCAUGGUCAGCAGUUGGAAAGAUUUUUCGGUCUGGGAUGGGCUCACGGCCUAUCAGCUUGUUGGUGAGGUAAUGGCUCACCAAGGCGUCGACGGGUAGCCGGCCUGAGAGGGUGACCGGCCACACUGGGACUGAGACACGGCCCAGACUCCUACGGGAGGCAGCAGUGGGGAAUAUUGCACAAUGGGCGAAAGCCUGAUGCAGCAACGCCGCGUGAGGGAUGACGGCCUUCGGGUUGUAAACCUCUUUUAGCAGGGAAGAAGCGAAAGUGACGGUACCUGCAGAAAAAGCGCCGGCUAACUACGUG
This 467-nucleotide ribosomal RNA is filed under the name uncultured bacterium. RNAcentral's name for it is "partial 16S ribosomal RNA". It matches the Rfam family "Bacterial small subunit ribosomal RNA", at positions 28 to 507 of the family's 1533-position model. The record is from RNAcentral.